This 388-nucleotide unclassified non-coding RNA is filed under the name Monanthotaxis obovata. RNAcentral describes it as "partial external transcribed spacer". The record is from RNAcentral. Lineage: Eukaryota; Viridiplantae; Streptophyta; Magnoliopsida; Magnoliales; Annonaceae.
GUCUUUCGAUUCCCUUCUCGCAAAGCCCGACCGAUCGAUGAUAUAUUGAUAGGAGGGCGCAGCGGGGCCGCGAACGCACCCCGCCCGCAUCCUCCGCAUCCGAAAGCGCGCUGCGGCGCCGAGGUCCGUGUGCCCCCCCACCCAGCGGAGGGCAACGACGCACGGCAACCAUCCGAAUGCCCGCCGCACAACUAUAUCCCCGAAGCCCGGGGGCUGCCGGGGCAUGUGCGGCCGGGUGCAGACCUCAAUCCACCAGUGCCGGUACCCCGAAACCUGCACAGGGUAGGAAGCACAGGCAACACAUACACAGACCGCGAGGGAGGAGCUUAAGCCCGGACCUCCGGCCAACAACGCAAAGGCGCACUCCCUUGACGGUUGGCUGCAGGAA